This 615-nucleotide ribosomal RNA is filed under the name Triticum aestivum (bread wheat). Its description in RNAcentral is "partial small subunit ribosomal RNA". Lineage: Eukaryota; Viridiplantae; Streptophyta; Magnoliopsida; Poales; Poaceae. The record is from RNAcentral.
AUGCGCCCCACCAAGUGCCUCCAGGAGAUCGGCUCACUAGGACAGAGUGAGUUUAUCAAAGGAUGUAGCAUCCAAGACAACUUUCUAUUUGUCCAAGGCUUGGCUCACCACUUUCACCAGAAAAAACGUCCAAUGCUUUUUGUGAAGCUGGAUAUUGCCAAGGCAUUUGACAUGCUGGCUUGGCCCUACCUACUCAACAUGUUGCGGGCAAGGGGCUUCGGCCAGCGCUGGUGCGAAUUGAUCUUGAUGAUCCUUUCCUCGGCGUCCUCGCGAGUGAUCAUCAAUGGACACGUCGGCGAUCCAAUUCACCAUGCCAAGGGAGUACGUCAGGGUGACCCCAUCUCCCCUUUCCUGUUCAUCCUUGCCAUGGAGCCUCUACAACGCCUCAUUGACAAGGCGGUCGAAAACAACAUUCUCUCGCAUCUGCGAGGCAGAAUUUCACCAGUGCGCGCCUCCUUGUAUGCUGACGACGUGGCCCUCUUCAUCAACCCUGUGAAGGAGGAGAUGGCGACACUUAAGUCGAUUCUUUCUGCUUUUGGUGACGUGACGGGGCUACGGGUUAACUUCUCCAAGAGCUCUGUGAUCCCCAUCAGGUGCGAUGGGCUGGAUGUGUAG